CCAUAAAUGAAAUUCAAUGCAAAUUGACAAUAUUAUUGAGAGUGUUUUGAAAAUUACAUAGCAUGUUUGAUUAUGUUUUAGAUGAACAACGACCUCGAAAUUUAUGUUUGAAAAAUGUUUGCAUUAACAACGACUUCGAAAUUUAUGUUUGAAAAAUGUUUGGAUACCUAAUAUCACAAAUGAAAUCCAAUGCAAAUCGACAGUAUUAUUGAGAGUAUUCUGAAAAUUAUACAGCAUGUUUGAUUAUGUUUUAGAUGAACAACGACCUCGAAAUUUAUGUUUGAAAAAUGUUUGCAUGAACAACGACCUCGAAAUUUAUGUUUGAAAAAUGUUUGGAUACAUAAUAUCACAAAUGAAAUCCAAUGCAAAGCGAGAGUGUCAUUGAGAGUAUUUUCAAAAUUACACAGCAUGUUUGAAUAUGUUUUAGAUGGACAACGACCUCGAAAUUUAUGUUGGACAAUCUUUUUCAAAUAUAACACGACAAAUGGGAUGCAGAGCGGAACAACAAUAUUAUUAAGAGUACUCGGGAAAUUGUAUAUAGUAUGUUCGCAUAUUUAGCAUUAUUUAGCACACUUAAGGAGCACUAUGCGCGAAUGAAAUAGAUCUAAUGGCUACUGGUAAUAAAUUACAUUCCUAGCAUGUAGCUGUGCAGGUGAGAGAACUGCUGCAUUUUGACAAAUAACGAGAAGGAAAUGCCAGGUAAGAAAUUUCUGUUGUGGUAGAUGUGUACGCCAGUUGUACAGUUAACAGUUGCUAUGAAGUUAAUUGUAUUUUGCGUAUUAUGCAACGAACGUGCCGAUCCAUCAUUGUCUCAUGUUUUGCUAAUUAGAUAACUGUAAAGAUGGUGAAAUAUGUUAGAAUUUACGCGUAUCACGGACCGUUCGUUUUGUAUAUCUAUGCAAAACUGUAUGUGCAGCUAAGCACAACCUAUAAAUUACCACUGUGAAUAGUUGAAAAGUACUAGAACUAGAGUUUGCAAUCAUUUAAGGUCUUGAUGUGUCAAGAAAUGUUGGCAAGAGAAUAAUUGUUUUAGUUUUUACGUGGUCCUAGUUACGUAGAUUGUGUUACAUUUGCAUAAAAUCUUGCAUUGUGUUUGUAUAAAAUAUUCUUC
This 1111-nucleotide unclassified non-coding RNA is filed under the name Bombus terrestris (buff-tailed bumblebee). RNAcentral's name for it is "misc RNA ENSBTSG00005020401.1". The record is from RNAcentral. Lineage: Eukaryota; Metazoa; Arthropoda; Insecta; Hymenoptera; Apidae.